Dermacentor andersoni is the source of this 183-nucleotide small nuclear RNA. RefSeq annotates it as U2 spliceosomal RNA. The record is from RefSeq and is a predicted model, not a curated record. Lineage: Eukaryota; Metazoa; Arthropoda; Arachnida; Ixodida; Ixodidae.
AGACUUUGCCAACGCGGCUCAAAGUGCGGUAUCUGUUCUUAUCAGCUUAAUAUCUGAUACGGGUUGUUUGUGGACCUAAGAUGUUGAACUUAUUUUGCAAGCUGGCGGAGUGCUUAAAGCCUGCUUCACCUCCGCUGCGUAUCGGCCCGGUAUUGCACUAUUUUCGGUGUCGGCCCACGUAUG